Dryobates pubescens (Downy woodpecker) is the source of this 245-nucleotide long non-coding RNA. RefSeq lists it as uncharacterized. The transcript is spliced from 3 exons. The record is from RefSeq and is a predicted model, not a curated record. Lineage: Eukaryota; Metazoa; Chordata; Aves; Piciformes; Picidae.
AGCCCGGCCCCGUCCCGCCCCCGUGGCCGCGCUCCGGCUGUGGCGGCGCGGCCAUGUCGGGCGGGCGGACGUCGGUCUGGCUGUGGCGGCUCUGCAACCUCCUCAUGGCUGCGUUCUUCGGGCUGGCGGCCGCCGUGCAGGUGAAUGACCCCGACGCCGGGCUCUGGACGGUUGUCUACUUAGUGCCUGCUGCUCUGACACUGCUUGUCAGCAUGAAGCCCUCAAUAACAGGUAUGGUCCUGCUG